Molecule: non-coding RNA, 104 nt
Organism: Helianthus annuus (common sunflower)
Lineage: Eukaryota; Viridiplantae; Streptophyta; Magnoliopsida; Asterales; Asteraceae
Source: Rfam
GUUUAAUUAUUACUAUAUAUUAAUAAUUGGAACGAUACAGAGAAGAUUAGCAUGGCCUCUGCGCAAGGAUAACACGUACAAAUCAAGAAAUGGUCCAAAUUAUU